Molecule: RNA transcript, 4830 nt
Organism: Dryobates pubescens (Downy woodpecker)
Lineage: Eukaryota; Metazoa; Chordata; Aves; Piciformes; Picidae
Gene: SLC38A1
Gene name: solute carrier family 38 member 1
Exons: 17
Source: RefSeq, a predicted model, not a curated record
CCUUGCGCGCUCCCGCCAGCCCGCCCACCUCCACAUGCACACACCCGCGGCAAGAGGAGGAGCGGCAUCUUCCUCGCCUUCUUCGUUCCGCCAAUUUCAUUUCCCCCCGUCCUCACCUCUUUUUCUUAUUUUUCCUAAAUAUUUCAUUUUCUGUCAUCACUGUAAUCAUUUGUCGGGGUGCUCCGGCUGGCUCCCGCUGGAGAGAGUGGAUUAUUCCCUGGGGGAUCCCCACAGCUCCUGGGGAAGGUUGCUGGCACUGGAGCUGCAGUUCACUCACCAGAUACCAACCAAACACUAAUAUUUGGAGAAACCCUUGUGUAGGUACAAUUUCUCACCCAGGAUGCCUUUCAAAGCUGGAUUAGAACUCACUGAAUUGCAGAAUAUGACCGUCCCUGAAGAUGAUAACAUCAGCAAUGAUUCAAAUGAUUUCACAGAGGUGGAAAAUGGCCAAAUAAAUAGUAAGUUUAUUUCGGAUCGGGAAAGCAGAAGAAGUCUCACAAACAGCCACCUGGAGAAGAAGAAAUGCGAUGAAUAUAUCCCAGGAACUACUUCGCUGGGGAUGUCUGUCUUCAACCUCAGCAAUGCAAUUAUGGGCAGUGGGAUUUUGGGUCUUGCUUUUGCCUUAGCCAACACAGGAAUUCUCCUUUUUCUGCUGCUUUUGGUUUCAGUGACACUGCUGUCUAUUUAUUCAAUAUAUCUCCUGUUGGUGUGUGCAAAGGAAACAGGCUGCAUGGUGUAUGAAAAGCUGGGUGAGCAGGUCUUUGGUACCCCAGGGAAAAUUAUUAUCUUUGGAUCCACAUCUCUCCAGAACAUUGGAGCAAUGUUGAGUUAUCUCUUCAUAGUCAAAAAUGAGCUGCCUUCUGCCAUAAAGUUUCUAAUGGGAAAAGAAGAAAAUUUCUGGGAGUGGUACGUGGAUGGACGGAUUCUUGUUGUCACAGUGACAUUUGGUAUAAUCCUCCCUUUAUGCCUCCUUAAGAACUUAGGGUAUCUUGGCUACACCAGUGGAUUUUCAUUAAGCUGCAUGGUAUUUUUCCUGGUUGUGGUUAUUUACAAGAAGUUUCAAAUUUCCUGUGGUAUACCAGAGCUAAAUGCAACUUCAUCUAUCCUAUCAAAUAGCUCAGCACAUGAACAUAUGUGUAAGCCAAAGUAUGUUAUCUUUAAUUCCAAGACCGUGUAUGCUUUGCCCACCAUUGCUUUUGCAUUUGUGUGCCACCCAUCAGUCCUCCCGAUUUACAGCGAGCUUAAAGACCGUUCACAGAAAAAAAUGCAGUUGGUUUCUAAUAUCUCAUUUUUUGCCAUGUUUGUGAUGUACUUUAUGACUGCCAUAUUUGGCUAUUUGACUUUCUAUGACGAUGUGCAGUCAGAUCUGCUUCACAAGUACCAGAGCAAAGAUGACAUCCUUAUCCUGACCGUGCGCUUGGCUGUGAUUGUUGCGGUGAUACUCACGGUGCCAGUGCUGUUUUUCACUGUGCGUUCAUCAUUAUUUGAGCUGGCUAGGAAAACAAAAUUUGAUUUAUACCGCCAUGUUUUGGUUACUUUGGUUCUUUUGGUUAUCAUCAACCUGUUAGUCAUUUUUAUCCCAACCAUGAAGGAUAUUUUUGGAGUUGUAGGGGUCACUUCUGCCAACAUGCUGAUUUUCAUUCUUCCUUCAUCAUUGUAUUUAAAAAUUACACAGCAGGAUGGAUCAAAGUUGACUCAGAGGAUUUGGGCUUCUCUUUUCUUGGCGCUGGGAAUAAUGUUUUCCCUAGUGAGCAUUCCCUUGGUCAUCUAUGACUGGGUUCAAUCAGGAGCCAGUGCUGAAGGCCACUGAAGCUCACCUCCUUCUGAAGACACCCCUGUUUGCUACACACCAAAAUCUCAACCAUCCAUUCUGUUACCUAUUUCAUCUUUUGUUUAUACAUUCUUAACAGAAUGCAAUAGACCCUGCUGUAACUGUCAACAUCAGUGAUGGAUGACAAUAUUUGUAUGAGGUUAUCUGUAAAAUGUACUGCUGUUAUUCAGUUCAUUUGGAAUAGUGAACUUGUAGCCAACAAUGUACGAGUCCCACAUAUUAGCUAGGAUUUUAAGAGCACAGUGAAAUGCUGUAGGAGUUUCUCUGAUGUUAAAUUAAUAGGAUCCAGAGGACCAUAUCUACUUAGUAGGCAGUAGCAUGCUUUCUUCUCAUAGAGAGUUUAUCACUAUUGUGAGAACUGCAAAUGUCAUAGUCUGGAUGCAAAAUUGCUCCUAAUAAUAACUGCAACAAAAUAGUUUAAAAUUCUUGUUUGCCUAGUAGCAACAACUGAGUGGUGUUGGACAAGGAAAGACUAAUCAGAGGCAGGAGUUCCUAAAGACACUGCAGUAGUUAAUCCCAGACUUAAAAGAUGGUCUUGCUGCUUUUUCUAGUCCACAGGACAUCGCAAAGAAAAUAGUUGUGAACUUGAAGUACCCAUAAGGCUGCAGAAUACAGCUGCCCUUCUCUGUCCAGUGGUGAACACACCAGUAAAUAAAACACAGUAAAUUAGUAUUUGAGAACAGUCCCUCAGGAGCAGUGACCUCUCUGGGUGAUGCUUGCUCCUGGUCAGAGGGCCAAUGCCAAAUCCGUGCACCAGCACAAACCUUUUGUGGGGCUGAGACGCGCUGAGUGGUACCCAGCCUGUGUGCAGGCCCAGGGCAGAACAGCCUGCCUCAUCCUGUGAGGUCAGGGAUGGGGGUGCCUGUUCACUCCUGAAGGCUGUUUUCCUGAGUCCCACACACUGACCCAUAGCUUGUGCUUCACUUGCAGUGGUCACUCACGAAAAUGCAGAUUGGAUGGUAUGUGGGUUGUGUCUGUACAUCUGCCUUACAAUGUGUAAGCACGAGAGCUCUCUCUGAUAGUGUUAACAAUAGCAAUGAAUGGUAUCUCUAGCUUAUCUUUAAAUGAAUACAUUUCUUUGCUUGAACCUUACAUUAAGGCUAAAGAGCAUCUUGGUCAAAAACUAACUUUCCAUGUGGUGAUAUCCCACCUCCAGUCCUACCGUCCCACCCCAGUGCCUGUCAGAGGAAGGCACAGCAGAAUGUACUCAGCUCCAUCAGCAGCUCCACAAGAUGGCUUUAUAGCCUGGCACCAAGGUGCUUUCUUAAACAAUUUCCUGGAGCCCUUGGUGUCAGGAAAAUCCUUAUUUCCUAUUAAGUACACAAAGAAUGUUUUAUUUGUAUCUAAUGUAAGGAUUUCUGUAAUAAAACUGUGAAAAAAAAAGAAAAAAAGAUAAUGAAUUAAUAAAAAGUACAGGGCUGAAAAGGUCUAGAAUUCACAAAUUGUAUUCAUGCCUAUGUUUCUGAAGACAAAUCUAUGCAGUUGUGUUGUAUUGUAGGAGAUUUCAUUUUAAUGUACAUAUAUAUAUUGUAAAUAAAUAGGAUGCUGUAUAUUUUUGCAGUUGUUUAUCCCCUAUGAUAUAGAAGUGUUGAGGUAGGCUCUGCAUAUUAAGAAUAAAUUUAAGAGAUAUCCAAAUACUUCAGCUUCUGACUUAGCAAAAUGUAUAUCCUUUCCUUUGUCCCAAGAGUUCACAAGUUGAAUCCUAAACUUCAAAUUAUAAUUACAUUGCUAAUGUAACAAGAAAAAGAGAAUUCAUGAGGUCCAAUGAAAUUUCUGGGAUUAAUUCAGUGCAUGACCCCCUGUUUUCUCAACAGCGAGCUACCAGUUUUCCUUCUGGGUAAAAUAUCUCCCUUGUAAAGGGCCCCUUUGGUGCCCAGGUACCUCUUACCUCCUCAGCUGAGGACAGGUGGUAGUAGUGCUGAAAAGGUUUUAUGCAGAACCCAGAGCAAACUGCAGCCAGUGAUCUGACCCUGCAUUAUGCCAUGUUGUAUCCAGGCAUGUAUUUACCCAACUAGUACAAACAGAAGCCAGGGCAGGACUCCUGCAUUUUCAUUUUCAGCCACCAGAAAUGCCUGUAGUUCAGGAAAAAAAAAAGCUACACGCCAGGGAUGGGCAGCAAUCAGAGCAAUUUGUGCCAUUUCUAGCCCGCCGUCUUUCUGCAGAGUCCUGCAGCUGACUGCUACUCCGCUGCAGCACCAGGCAAGCUGUUAUCAUACAAUGAAAACACCGAGGCUGACAGAGCAUCCCCAGCCAGGGACUGCUAGCACAUCCCUCCCUGUGAACAGGCCUAAGCCAGUGUUUUGGUCGUAGGAUAGCUGUGUGUCCAGGGGUGAGGAUGACAAGAGGCAGGGGGGAGUUGUGUAUGUCCUUAAUAGUGCCUCUGUCGAGAGCCUUGCACAGACCAUCUCACUGGUAAAGCACAGAAAUGUGGGGUUUAGGAUUGCUGGAAAAUAGAGGUUGAGACAUGCAUCUAAAAAGAACUAAUUUAUUUCCGUGUUUGCUUUGUGGUCUUGGAUGAAAGUGAAACUUGAAAUAACAUUUGCUUUCACUGUUAAGCACAAAUUUGAGGGGAAGAAACACACCUAUAUUCAGCCACUUCUACAGAGCUUUGCAAAUUAAUACAAGUGUAUGUUUUGUUUUAAGUGUUAUAGCCAACAAAAUAUAAACUGUAAAGGUAUUUUUCCACAAGACUUGAACUUUAACUUGUUUAUAGAAACCUGGUUUUAGUGUCCCAAGGUAUGUUAAGGCUCACCCAGAUCCAGUAUAAACAAUAGUGUUUGAAUGGUGUACGCUUGAUAUGAGCUUGUCUCUAAUAGAUUGUUGAAGUGAGUCAUUGGUAAUAUUUUGCUCCUGCUAACAUCACCAUACUUUGUGCUGCUCAUAUCCAAAUAAAUGAUGCAAUUUUUCAGUUUCUGUGUGUAAAUAAUAAUAAUAAAAUGUACUAAGUUCUAUAAUCUCUCUGUUACCUCUAUAGUUUUUAAACAUUAAAAUUGUGAUCA